GACGAACGCUGGCGGCGUGCUUAACACAUGCAAGUCGAACGGAAAGGCCCCUUUGUUGGUACUCGGGUGGCGGACGGGUGAGUAACACGUGAGUAACCUGCCCUUGACUUCGGGAUAACUUCAAGAUACUGGGGCUAAUACCGGAUAGGGAUCCUUUCUUCAUGGUGGUGGUUGGAAAGCUUCGGCGGUUUUUGAUGGACUGGCGGCUUAUCUGCUUGUUGGUGGGGUAGUGGCUUACCAAGGCGUUGACGGGUAGCCGGCCUGAGAAGGCGACCGGCCACCUUGGGACUGAGAUACGGCACAGACUGCGAAGGGAGGGAGAAGUGGGGAAUAUUGCACAAUGGGCGGAGGCCUGAUGAAGAAAGGCCGCGUGCGGGAUGACGGCCUUAGGGUUGUAAACCGAUUUCAGCAGGGGCGAAGCUCGUGGUGACGGUACCUGCAGAAGAAGCACCGGCUAACUACGUG
This 465-nucleotide ribosomal RNA is filed under the name uncultured bacterium. RNAcentral describes it as "partial 16S ribosomal RNA". It matches the Rfam family "Bacterial small subunit ribosomal RNA", at positions 28 to 507 of the family's 1533-position model. The record is from RNAcentral.